Molecule: ribosomal RNA, 391 nt
Filed under: Escherichia coli
Lineage: Bacteria; Pseudomonadati; Pseudomonadota; Gammaproteobacteria; Enterobacterales; Enterobacteriaceae
Description: bacterial SSU rRNA
Rfam family: Bacterial small subunit ribosomal RNA
Source: RNAcentral
AAAUUGAAGAGUUUGAUCAUGGCUCAGAUUGAACGCUGGCGGCAGGCCUAACACAUGCAAGUCGAACGGUAACAGGAAGCAGCUUGCUGCUUUGCUGACGAGUGGCGGACGGGUGAGUAAUGUCUGGGAAACUGCCCGAUGGAGGGGGAUAACUACUGGAAACGGUAGCUAAUACCGCAUAACGUCGCAAGACCAAAGAGGGGGACCUUAGGGCCUCUUGCCAUCGGAUGUGCCCAGAUGGGAUUAGCUAGUAGGUGGGGUAAUGGCUCACCUAGGCGACGAUCCCUAGCUGGUCUGAGAGGAUGACCAGCCACACUGGAACUGAGACACGGUCCAGACUCCUACGGGAGGCAGCAGUGGGGAAUAUUGCACAAUGGGCGCAAGCCUGAUG